RNAcentral lists this long non-coding RNA (3090 nucleotides) under Homo sapiens (human). Its description in RNAcentral is "HSALNT0390945". Lineage: Eukaryota; Metazoa; Chordata; Mammalia; Primates; Hominidae. The record is from RNAcentral.
GUUUGGCGUUGCAGCUGUGUGGGCGCUGGUGCGUGCGAGUAGCGCUCGAAGAAACCCAAAGGCGUCGUGGGGCUGCCGUGUGCCCCAGAGAGCACUGCAGGCCGGGUAGGGGCUAAGGCUCCCCGCAGUCUUCUGUGUGUCGUCCAGUACGCAGUUGAAAUCGUUCUCCAACCUGGCCAGUCCUCCGAGGCCCUUCUCAGGCGACCAGACUCUGUUAACAGAGUCCAUUGCUAAAACUCCUCGUUAGUAUUUACCACUCCUCCAGUCUGUGUUUUGAAGCAGUGGUUUUCAACCACUGCCCGUUUUCAGAAGAAAUCAUCUCAAGCGUCCGUGUGCUGCUAGAAGCCGGGCCGGGAGGUCUUGGUGCCGGACUCCACCCUGCAGCCCUUCCCUUUCGCCACCGCCCUGUGCUUAGAGAAACCUUAGAGUGGAGCAAUGAGUCGCCCUUGACUGAGUAACUCUUCGGGGUCAACUUCUCCUUCCACGCCAAGGAAAGGAUUCCAGGGCGAUGUUUCUGGAAAUAGAGAUCUGACCAAGCCACUGCUCUGGUGAAAAUUCAGUGGGUCCCUAGCACCUAGUGCAGCGGCUCCUAGCCUGAGUAUUGCCGUCUUUCGGUGGGGAGGGGUUGGGUUUUUUUGUAGCAUCUGUUGAUCUGAUCUCCAACAUCCUCCACGUCAAUUCCCACUCCACCCACAUCCCUUAUCCUAUACGUAAGCUUUCCAGCCACGGUGCUGGCUUGGGUGGGGGUGCGUGCGGUGCUGACACCAAAAUGGAGGUCCCGUGUUUCUGAGAGUCUCUUUCAGAGCAAUGCAAACCUGAAACUACUCCUGCCAAGAAACGAUUGCAGCUCUUCCCGGAAAAGUUAAAGCCUUUGAGAAACAAAGCUGAGGUUGAAAGUAUUAGUCCAUUUUAUAGAUGAAGAAAUGGAGGCCCAGAGAGAUCACGUGACUUAGCCAAGUCCACCAAAUUUGGGAUUAAGCCUUAUUUUGCAUUGGGUUUAAUCUCAACAGACACCGAGGGGCACCUGGAGUCCCUGCAAAACCUUGUCUGGUAUCAGCUACCUAUCAGAGGAUGCAGAGGACAAGGUCAGGUAGAGGCUGUUUCCAGUGAGAGGAAGGCAGGGGGAGGGCAUGGAAGGAGCACUGGAAAUGGGGUGGGAAAACCAAAGCUCCCUCCAUGCAGGGCUACUUAGGUGAGUCCCUUCCCUGUCUGGGCUCCCUUCCUUCCUUCCUUCCUUCCUUCCUUCCUUCCUUCCUUCCUUCCUUCCUUCUUUCCUUCCUUUCCUUCCUUCCUUCUUUCCUUUCUUCCUUGCUUCCUGCUCUCUCUGUUGCCCAGGCUGGAGUGCAGUAGCAUGUCCUCGCCUCACUGCAGCCUCGACCUCCUGGACUCAAGCCAUCCUCCCACCUCAGCCUCCUGAGUAGCUGGAGCUAUAGGCGUGUGCCACUACACACGGCUAACUUUUGUAUUUUUUGUAGAGAUGGGGUUUCACCAUCUUGUCCAAGCUGGUCUUGAACUCCUGGGCUCAAGCGAUCUGUCCACCUCAGCCUCCCAAAGUGCUGGGAUUACAGACAUGAGCCACCGUGCCCAGCCUGUGCCUUAGCAUUCUAUCCUAUGACUCAGAGGUAGCUGAGCUCCAUCUUCUAAAAUCAAGUGACCAUCACUGAGGCUGUCUCCUCCCCUAUAAAAUCAGGAUUGUGUUACUCAUUGUAGAAAAACCAGUAACCCCAGCAAGCAAGCUCACCCCCCUGGCUCCACAGACCUCCCCAGUCUCAUCUCUCAAGACUCCUGCCCUUCACAAGAUGCUCUGGCGCACCCCAGCCCUGUGCUCCCUCUCAUUUGGUUUCCUCUGCUUGGAUUGCCCUUCUCACCUUCUUUAGUUGGUGUCUGCUCACCUUCUAAGACUCAGCCCAGUCCUUAUCUCCUCCAGGAAGCCUUCCCCAAUCUCCCUUCCACUGGCUGGGUUAGGUGCUGUCCCUUGGGCUCCUAUCAAGUCUGGGCCAUUGCUGUCCUAAUAAUGUGGCUGAUAAUUUAUAGCUAGUCAUUAGAGUUGUAAUUUAUUGAGCCCUUACUCACAGCCUGCCCCUGAACCAGACCCUUUAUACAGCGUCACCUCAUUGAAUCUGACAAAGUAUAACUCAGCUCCUAGUUCAAAGUAAACAUCUGCCCUGCCAUUGAUCCCGCUGAGGUAACAGAAAUAAAGCCAGCUGUGGAGGUAACACGAAACAGUAGUUCUCCCAAGCAUAGGGUACAGCUAGAAAGUGCCACAACGUGCCUGCCUGCAAUGUGUGCACGUGCGUGCACACGUGUACGUGGAUAAACACGUCUGUGCACGUGUAUGUUGCUUCUCUGGCCAGGCCUGGCUGCCCCACUCAUGUGCACCCAGUUCCUCAUCACUGUCACCCCCGAGGCCCAGGGCCAGCAUCAGAGCAUCCCUGGCUGCUCCCUAACCUCAGCCCUCCCCGCCCAGGGUGGUCCUGGGAUACACAUAGGGGUGGAGGGAAGUGACUGCUGCUGCUGCUGGAUCUCAGAAUACAAAUACUAAUACUAUUACCUAAUGGUCUUUUUAGUGUCCCUAAUGGUCUUUUUAGUGUCUCUAAUUGUAUCUCUUUUUCGUUUCUGAUAUUUUAACUGGGUAUUUCUCUCCAUGACCCUUGGAUAUUCUAGCUAGAGGAUCCUGUGGGGAAAGUGCCGGGCACACAGUAGGGGCUCACUCUUCUAGACGUGUUAUCUAAAACCUGGUUCAUCUGUCCUUCCACGCAGGGCCUAGGGGAUGCCAAAUUCCAGGGUCCAGAAAGAGCUUGGGAUAAAAUGAACAUCCAAGGGGAGGGCUUUGACCUGGGCUGAGUCUGCCUGUGCCGAGUCUGCCUGUGCCAUCCAACUGGAGUCUCAAGUCCUGAGGCAGGACGUCCAGAUGCCCCAGUGCAGGGUCCUCCUGAUCAACACCUGCUCCCCUGUACUCAUUAGCAACCUCACCCACCCUACUCUCAAAGCACACUUGGCUCUCAUAUCCAGGAGCUCUGCAUCUGUAGAUUCAGCAACAGCAGAUGGAAAAUAUUCAGAAAAUAAAUUGGACAGUUAUAUUUCUAUUGA